RNAcentral lists this long non-coding RNA (1033 nucleotides) under Gossypium barbadense (sea-island cotton). RNAcentral describes it as "long non-coding RNA (GBAR_LNC016233)". Lineage: Eukaryota; Viridiplantae; Streptophyta; Magnoliopsida; Malvales; Malvaceae. The record is from RNAcentral.
AGAUUUAAAACACAAGUUUAUGAGAAAGGAGCAAUUAUGACUCCAUUGCUUACAGGUUUCUUACUGUAGGAAUAAUUGGUAUAUAAGAAAAAUGCAAUUAUUUGUAAUCAUUGUUACUAAUGAUAUGGUUUAUUACAAAAAUAGGUCAAUCAAAUAAAUUGUUUGCAAAUUCACGAGAAUGGCAGAACAUAAUUACAUUUUGUUUAUCCCUGAACUAUUCUAAAGCUAUCUGCACACAUUUAAAUGCUAAAAUCUCCGCAUAUCAAUGUCACUCUGCUUCACAAUUGCAAUUAUAAGCUUUUUAAUAUCGCAUCUUACUUCUUCUUUGUUGCAGGCCCAUUUGCCCGGACCCAAGAAAGAAACAAAAGAACCCAUACCAGCAGACCCACCAACUCCGCCGGCCGCCGCACGUCCCAUCGCUGCACCUGCUCCUGGCUGCCUCACCUUUCCUCUGACCGCCGACGCACGGCCUCACCUGCUCCACCAACUCCUCUGACUCCCUGCAAGAUGAAACCAAACACGCAAAACAGAGACAAAAAUAGAUAAAGAACUCAUGUAAAAUGGCUAUAAAAAGCCAAGCAAAAUCAGUUGUAUGGGGUUCGGUCCCUUUUUCUUAAAAAAACAAGAAAUAAAAGGUGAUUUUUUGGUUUUUACAAUAGUUUCUUUCAUCUAGUUCUUGGUUUUGAUUUCUUUGUUUUUUUUAUUGUGUUUUAGUUCUUUUUUCUGUUUCAUGUACGAAAAUAAACGAAAAGGUAAAGAGAAAGGUAACCUCACCUUGAUCUUCCCACAGACUCAUCGCUGGAGAUCUCUUCUCCAAUCGCCGAAGUCGAACCGGGGAGAGGGGGGACCUUUCUUUCGAUUUCUUUGGGGUUGAGAAGGCUUGGCCUUCGAAUGUGCCUCAAAACGAGGCUAAGAAGCCCAUCUCCGCGCUUCGUCGGCCACCGGGUACGGUGGUGGUACGGCGGGCGGUGGAGAACAUGAUCGACGGAGAGAAAUAGGGGAGGGAGAGAAAGCAAACAGCUUUCUGUUCUUU